GACGAACGCUGGCGGCGUGCUUAACACAUGCAAGUCGAACGGAAAGGCCCUGCUUUUGUGGGGUGCUCGAGUGGCGAACGGGUGAGUAACACGUGAGUAACCUGCCCUUGACUUUGGGAUAACUUCAGGAAACUGGGGCUAAUACCGGAUAGGAGCUCCUGCUGCAUGGUGGGGGUUGGAAAGUUUCGGCGGUUGGGGAUGGACUCGCGGCUUAUCAGCUUGUUGGUGGGGUAGUGGCUUACCAAGGCUUUGACGGGUAGCCGGCCUGAGAGGGUGAGCGGACACAGUGGGACUGAGAUACGGCCCAGACUCCUACGGGAGGCAGCAGCGGGGAAUAUUGCACAAUGGGCGGAAGCCUGAUGCAGAAGCGCCGCGUGCGGGAUGACGGCCUUCGGGUUGUAAACCGCUUUCGCCUGUGACGAAGCGUGAGUGACGGUAAUGGGUGAAGAAGCACCGGCUAACUACGUG
This 468-nucleotide ribosomal RNA is filed under the name uncultured bacterium. RNAcentral describes it as "partial 16S ribosomal RNA". It matches the Rfam family "Bacterial small subunit ribosomal RNA", at positions 28 to 507 of the family's 1533-position model. The record is from RNAcentral.